CCUACGGGUGGCAGCAGUGGGGAAUAUUGCGCAAUGGGCGAAAGCCUGACGCAGCGACGCCGCGUGAGGGAUGAAGGUCUUCGGAUCGUAAACCUCUGUCAGCAGGGAAGAACGGUCACUGUGCUAAUCAGCAGUGAAUUGACGGUACCUGCAAAGGAAGCACCGGCUAACUCCGUGCCCGAAGCCGCGGUAAUACGGAGGGUGGUGGCGUUAAUCGGAAUUACUGGGCGUAAAGCUUGCGGAGGCGGUAUGACAAGUCAAGGGUGAAAUCCCCGGGCUCAACGUGGGAACUGCCUUUGAAACUGGCAAACUGGAGUGUGUGAGAGGAUGGUGGAAUUCCAGGUGUAGGAGUGAAAUCCGUAGAUAUCUGGAGGAACAUCAGUGGCGAAGGCGACUAUCUGGCACAUAACUGACGCUGAGGAGCGAAAGCGUGGGUAGCAAACAGGAUUAGAUACCCUGGUAGUC
RNAcentral lists this ribosomal RNA (465 nucleotides) under uncultured bacterium. RNAcentral describes it as "partial 16S ribosomal RNA". It matches the Rfam family "Bacterial small subunit ribosomal RNA", at positions 338 to 795 of the family's 1533-position model. The record is from RNAcentral.